Molecule: ribosomal RNA, 292 nt
Filed under: uncultured bacterium
Lineage: Bacteria
Description: partial 16S ribosomal RNA
Rfam family: Bacterial small subunit ribosomal RNA
Source: RNAcentral
GUGCCAGCAGCCGCGGUAAUACGUAGGUGGCAAGCGUUGUCCGGAUUUAUUGGGUUUAAAGGGUGCGUAGGCGGUCCUAUAAGUCAGUGCUGAAAUAUCCCGGCUUAACCGGGAGGGUGGCAUUGAUACUGCAGGACUUGAGUAAAGUUGAGGUAAGCGGAAUUGACGGUGUAGCGGUGAAAUGCUUAGAUAUCGUCAAGAACACCUAUUGCGAAGGCAGCUUACUAAGCUUUAACUGACGCUGAGGCACGAAAGUGUGGGGAUCAAACAGGAUUAGAUACCCUGGUAGUCC